Molecule: ribosomal RNA, 253 nt
Filed under: uncultured bacterium
Lineage: Bacteria
Description: partial 16S ribosomal RNA
Rfam family: Bacterial small subunit ribosomal RNA
Source: RNAcentral
UACAGAGGUGGCAAGCGUUGUUCGGAAUUACUGGGCGUAAAGGGCGCGUAGGCGGCCUUCUAAGUCAGACGUGAAAUCCCCCGGCUUAACCUGGGAACUGCGUCUGAUACUGGGAGGCUUGAGUAUGGGAGAGGGAUGUAGAAUUCCAGGUGUAGCGGUGAAAUGCGUAGAUAUCUGGAGGAAUACCGGUGGCGAAGGCGGCAUCCUGGACCAUAACUGACGCUGAGGCGCGAAAGCGUGGGUAGCAAACAGG